AACCCGACUCCAUGAAGCUGGAUUCGCUAGUAAUCGCGCAUCAGCCACGGCGCGGUGAAUACGUUCCCGGGCCUUGUACACACCGCCCGUCAAGCCAUGGAAGCCGGGAGUGCCUGAAGUGCGUGACCGCAAGGAGCGCCCUAAGGCAAUACCGGUGACUGGGGCUAAGUCGUAACAAGGUAUC
Molecule: ribosomal RNA, 184 nt
Filed under: uncultured bacterium
Lineage: Bacteria
Description: partial 16S ribosomal RNA
Rfam family: Bacterial small subunit ribosomal RNA
Source: RNAcentral